This 459-nucleotide ribosomal RNA is filed under the name uncultured bacterium. RNAcentral's name for it is "SSU rRNA". It matches the Rfam family "Bacterial small subunit ribosomal RNA", at positions 26 to 518 of the family's 1533-position model. The record is from RNAcentral.
AGAAUCAACGCUGGCGGCGUGCCUAACACAUGCAAGUCGCACGAGAAAGGGGAGCAAUCCCUGAGUACAGUGGCGCACGGGUGAGUAACACGUGAAUGAUCUACCUCCGAGUGGGGAAUAACUGAGAGAAAUCUUAGCUAAUACCGCAUAAUACCCACGGGUCAAAGCAGUAAUGCGCUUGGAGAGGAGUUCGCGGCAGAUUAGUUAGUUGGCGGGGUAAUGGCCCACCAAGACGAUGAUCUGUAUCCGGCCUGAGAGGGCGCACGGACACACUGGAACUGAAACACGGUCCAGACUCCUACGGGAGGCAGCAGUGGGGAAUUUUGCGCAAUGGGGGAAACCCUGACGCAGCAACGCCGCGUGGAGGAUGAAGCCCCUUGGGGUGUAAACUCCUUUCGAUCGGGAAGAUAAUGACGGUACCGAUAUAAGAAGCCCGGCUAACUUCGCGCCAGCAGCCGC